CUAUGCGCCUUGCCAGCCCGCUCAGGUGUGCCAGCCGCCGCGGUAAUACGUAUGGAGCAAGCGUUAUCCGGAUUUACUGGGUGUAAAGGGAGCGCAGGCGGCUUUGCAAGUCUGAUGUGAAAGGCCGGGGCUCAACCCCGGGACUGCAUUGGAAACUGUAAAGCUAGAGUGCCGGAGGGGUAAGCGGAAUUCCUAGUGUAGCGGUGAAAUGCGUAGAUAUUAGGAGGAACACCAGUGGCGAAGGCGGCUUACUGGACGGCAACUGACGCUGAGGCUCGAAGGCCAGGGGAGCGAAAGGG
RNAcentral lists this ribosomal RNA (299 nucleotides) under uncultured bacterium. Its description in RNAcentral is "partial 16S ribosomal RNA". It matches the Rfam family "Bacterial small subunit ribosomal RNA", at positions 475 to 776 of the family's 1533-position model. The record is from RNAcentral.